UAUUUGUGCUUUCAGAGAUGAAACAGAGCUCGCCCUGCCCUCAAGGAGCUCCUUGUCUGGUUUGGAGGGUGGAGAACGGAAGAGUGGGCAGAAAGACAUUCCUGCAAAAGACUGAUGCAUGGAAACCAAGGCACACUCUCCCACUCAGGUGAAGAAUGGGACAGCUCCCUUAGCAGCCGACCAGCCACCAGCCCAGCUCCCCCAGUGCCUCUCCUUCACUCUCCCUUCUUAUUCCAAUAUCCCCACCCUCCAGCCCCACCCUAGCCCACUGGGGCAACGCCAGGUCCAUGCCCUCUUCCACCUUCAAAGGAACAAUUCUAAAAACCAGAGAGAAAGCCAUCUGGUCAGGCUGCUCAUCAGAAAUAACUGCCAAGUCUGAGAGGAGAGGCGCCCUGAAUUCCAUGGCAGGUCAUUACAGAGCCAGUGGCUGAGACUCUAGGAGACCCAGCCCCACUGGCUGCAGCCCCUUCGGAUGCAUCUGUGAGAGCAGCCUGGCCAUCACCCGCCGGCCUGGCCCGUGCUGUCAGCCGGCCAGAGCGUGUCUGAAUCGAGAAAAGCUGACUGGGGCUCGAUUCACACUGACUCAAGCCGCAAGGCGAGUUUAUGGUUCUUGAUUACACCCAGCAGGGAGGCCUUCUUAGUGAUGAGAGAGAAAAUAUUCAACAACCUGUCUUUGCAAUGUGCUGAUCUCUUGGAGAGAGAGAGAGAGUGUGUGUGUAGAGAAAGUGGAGGAGGG
This 736-nucleotide long non-coding RNA is filed under the name Rhinopithecus bieti (black snub-nosed monkey). Its description in RNAcentral is "lncRNA (ENSRBIG00000046769.1)". The record is from RNAcentral. Lineage: Eukaryota; Metazoa; Chordata; Mammalia; Primates; Cercopithecidae.